RNAcentral lists this ribosomal RNA (478 nucleotides) under uncultured bacterium. RNAcentral's name for it is "partial 16S ribosomal RNA". It matches the Rfam family "Bacterial small subunit ribosomal RNA", at positions 28 to 523 of the family's 1533-position model. The record is from RNAcentral.
GACGAACGCUGGCGGCGUGCUUAACACAUGCAAGUCGAACGGUAAGGCCCUUCGGGGUACACGAGUGGCGAACGGGUGAGUAACACGUGGGUAAUCUGCCCUGCACUUCGGGAUAAGCCUGGGAAACUGGGUCUAAUACCGGAUAGGACCCUGGGAUGCAUGUCCUGGGGUGGAAAGCUUUUGCGGUGUGGGAUGGGCCCGCGGCCUAUCAGCUUGUUGGUGGGGUGAUGGCCUACCAAGGCGACGACGGGUAGCCGGCCUGAGAGGGUGACCGGCCACACUGGGACUGAGAUACGGCCCAGACUCCUACGGGAGGCAGCAGUGGGGAAUAUUGCACAAUGGGCGCAAGCCUGAUGCAGCGACGCCGCGUGAGGGAUGACGGCCUUCGGGUUGUAAACCUCUUUCAGCACCGACGAAGCACAAGUGACGGUAGGUGCAGAAGAAGGACCGGCCAACUACGUGCCAGCAGCCGCAGUAA